GAUGAACGCUGGCGGCGUGCCUAACACAUGCAAGUCGAGCGAACCUUUCGGGGUGAGCGGCGGACGGGUGAGUAACGCGUGGGUAACCUGCCCUAUACACACGGGUAACGUACCGAAAGGUACGCUAAUACGGGAUAAAGUUGUUGGAUGGCAUCUUCUAACAAUCAAAGCUCCGGCGGUAUAGGAUGGACCCGCGUCUGAUUAGCUAGUUGGUGAGGUAAUGGCUCACCAAGGCGACGAUCAGUAGCCGACCUGAGAGGGUGAUCGGCCACACUGGAACUGAGACACGGUCCAGACUCCUACGGGAGGCAGCAGUGGGGAAUAUUGCACAAUGGGCGAAAGCCUGAUGCAGCAACGCCGCGUGAGCGAUGAAGGUCUUCGGAUCGUAAAGCUCUGUCCUCAAGGAAGAUAAUGACGGUACUUGAGGAGGAAGCCCCGGCUAACUACGUGCCAGCCGCCGCAGUAA
RNAcentral lists this ribosomal RNA (466 nucleotides) under uncultured bacterium. RNAcentral describes it as "partial 16S ribosomal RNA". It matches the Rfam family "Bacterial small subunit ribosomal RNA", at positions 28 to 523 of the family's 1533-position model. The record is from RNAcentral.